This 482-nucleotide ribosomal RNA is filed under the name uncultured bacterium. RNAcentral's name for it is "partial 16S ribosomal RNA". It matches the Rfam family "Bacterial small subunit ribosomal RNA", at positions 30 to 507 of the family's 1533-position model. The record is from RNAcentral.
AUUGAACGCUGGCGGCAUGCUUUACACAUGCAAGUCGAACGGCAGCGCGGGGCAACCUGGCGGCGAGUGGCGAACGGGUGAGUAAUAUAUCGGAACGUACCCAGAAGUGGGGGAUAACGUAGCGAAAGUUACGCUAAUACCGCAUACGAUCUACGGAUGAAAGUAGGGGACCGCAAGGCCUUAUGCUUUUGGAGCGGCCGAUAUCUGAUUAGCUAGUUGGUGAGGUAAAGGCUCACCAAGGCAACGAUCAGUAGCUGGUCUGAGAGGACGACCAGCCACACUGGAACUGAGACACGGUCCAGACUCCUACGGGAGGCAGCAGUGGGGAAUUUUGGACAAUGGGCGCAAGCCUGAUCCAGCAAUGCCGCGUGAGUGAAGAAGGCCUUCGGGUUGUAAAGCUCUUUUGUCAGGGAAGAAACGGUAGAGGCUAAUAUCCUUUGCUAAUGACGGUACCUGAAGAAUAAGCACCGGCUAACUACGUG